CGGGGCGUAGCUCAGCCUGGCUUAGAGCGCUUGGUUCGGGACCAAGAGGUCGCUGGUUCAAAUCCAGUCGCCCCGA
This 76-nucleotide transfer RNA is filed under the name Dictyoglomus turgidum. RNAcentral's name for it is "tRNA-Pro". It matches the Rfam family "tRNA". Rfam says of the family: Transfer RNA (tRNA) molecules are approximately 80 nucleotides in length. Their secondary structure includes four short double-helical elements and three loops (D, anti-codon, and T loops). The record is from RNAcentral. RNAcentral also lists the same sequence under 6 other names. Lineage: Bacteria; Pseudomonadati; Dictyoglomota; Dictyoglomia; Dictyoglomales; Dictyoglomaceae.